This 253-nucleotide ribosomal RNA is filed under the name uncultured bacterium. RNAcentral's name for it is "partial 16S ribosomal RNA". It matches the Rfam family "Bacterial small subunit ribosomal RNA", at positions 524 to 776 of the family's 1533-position model. The record is from RNAcentral.
UACAGAGGUCUCAAGCGUUGUUCGGAUUCACUGGGCGUAAAGGGUGCGCAGGCGGUUGGGUGUGUCAGAUGUGAAAUCCCGAGGCUUAACCUCGGAACUGCGUCUGAAACUACUCGACUAGAGUACUGGAGAGGGAAACGGAAUUCACGGUGUAGCAGUGAAAUGCGUAGAUAUCGUGAGGAACACCAGAGGCGAAGGCGGUUACCUGGACAGUUACUGACGCUCAGGCACGAAAGCAUGGGGAGCAAAAGGG